GCAACAACAGUACGAUCUGAUCAUUUGCGUGGAACAGAAUUAAAAAGAAACGACAUUAAUACAUUUGAUAAUUUUUUUUAAUUUUAUGGAAUUUUCUUGUUUAUAUAAUAACUCGUUCGAUUUUAUUUUAUUCUUUACCUUCCACAUCUCACAGAUGCCUCAACGAGCCUGCAAAUUAAAAUAGCACUUUGAGUUAACCUUUGAAGCAAUUUUUAAAAGUCGCGCCAUUAAUAAAUUUUCAUUCCUAUAUAUUAACCUUGAUCAUGGAUAUUAAAGAGUUACGUAAUCGAAAUUGCGAUAUUGAACAUCUGCAUAGUGCGAGUCCAGACCUUGGACAACUAAAUAAAUUCACGAAAUCAUCUCAUCUACUCUUGUAUGAUCUUUUUUUUAUUCCUCCAUUUUCUAUAGAAUUUAUCUUGCUGACGCAUCUUCGCCGCGGUCUGUGCAUUAUGGAUGGCUCGCGUGUCCUCAACCCCACUUUUUCUACUCUGCGUGUUUUUAUUUCAUCCCCACUUCUCUGCCUCUCUAUAUAUCCCUGUAGCAGCGAGCUGCGUAUCUCCGUGGUCGUCCGUACCUUCUAAUUCCUAUUACACUUUGUACCAUUGACAAGCGUGCACAAGAAAGCUAGUUAACCGUGAAAACGUUCGAAAGCAGUGAUGAGACAGUUUAUUAACGUAGAUUGUUAUUCGUAUCUCCGGUAUGAAUAUGACAGAUACGUAUUUGUAUGACAGAAUAUAUCGAAGGUUAUGUUCAGAUCUUUCGCUGCGAUUCAUAUGUAUUAAAUCAAAUUGAUUUUAGGUUAUGUUUACUACGAUGCAAUCGUCACGAAACAACGAAUACGAUACGAACAGAAACAGAGCAUCGUGUUAAAACCACGAAGAUUCUUCCUCACAAGUAGGUUCCUGAAUUGAAUUAUAAAUGUGACCCGAUCGCUCCAAAUGAGCUGUGGAAUUUUAACGAAGCUUUUAGAAGAUAAAAAUCGAAUGUCUCGUAUUUCGAAUGCAACAAUGCGCAUCGAUACGAGUUACCAUCACUCGGUUAAUUGCCGACGAGGCUUCCACUGGACGUGAUAACACGACAAUCAACGAAGCAACUAAUUGUUGGCAGCGAAUUCGACGUAACUGUGACAGAGUAAUUUCCAAGCAAUAACAUUGAUCGCCCAGUACCUUCGUCCUUGGGACCUUCGUGCAUAAACCAGGCGGUUGUUUUAAUGGUCAGCAUAAUUUUCGCGAUGAGAAAUUGUCGGCGACACAUCGCGUCGGGGCUUGCGUACAAGUUCUCAUACGAUCGAUGUAACCCGUGGAUAUGCUUGUAACGAAAAAAACAUGUCACACAAUUUCUCCCGGGAUUACGUGUGACCGUCACGUACUGGCAAUUACAAAAAAUAUGUCGCUUUCGUUCCACUUCGAACAGAUAAAAAUAGGUACAGAUAAAUUCGUAGUAAUGAUAAGGAAUUAUUAAUAGAGCUAAUAAAUCCAAAUAUAACGUAUUCUUUCAACCAUAUGAUCAAUUUU
Long non-coding RNA from Eufriesea mexicana, 1514 nucleotides. RefSeq lists it as uncharacterized. The transcript has 3 exons. The record is from RefSeq and is a predicted model, not a curated record. NCBI's taxonomy places the organism in Eukaryota, Metazoa, Arthropoda, Insecta, Hymenoptera, Apidae.